GACAGAGGAUGCAAGCGUUAUCCGGAAUGAUUGGGCGUAAAGCGUCUGUAGGUGGCUUUUCAAGUCCGCCGUCAAAUCCCAGGGCUCAACCCUGGACAGGCGGUGGAAACUACCAAGCUGGAGUACGGUAGGGGCAGAGGGAAUUUCCGGUGGAGCGGUGAAAUGCAUUGAGAUCGGAAAGAACACCAAUGGCGAAGGCAGCUCGCUGGGACGGUACUGACGCUGAGACGCGAAAGCGUGGGGAGCAAACAGG
This 253-nucleotide ribosomal RNA is filed under the name uncultured bacterium. Its description in RNAcentral is "partial 16S ribosomal RNA". It matches the Rfam family "Bacterial small subunit ribosomal RNA", at positions 524 to 776 of the family's 1533-position model. The record is from RNAcentral.